Molecule: ribosomal RNA, 565 nt
Filed under: Salmonella enterica subsp. enterica serovar Agona
Lineage: Bacteria; Pseudomonadati; Pseudomonadota; Gammaproteobacteria; Enterobacterales; Enterobacteriaceae
Description: partial 23S ribosomal RNA
Rfam family: Bacterial large subunit ribosomal RNA
Source: RNAcentral
GGAGACACACGGCGGGUGCUAACGUCCGUCGUGAAGAGGGAAACAACCCAGACCGCCAGCUAAGGUCCCAAAGUCAUGGUUAAGUGGGAAACGAUGUGGGAAGGCCCAGACAGCCAGGAUGUUGGCUUAGAAGCAGCCAUCAUUUAAAGAAAGCGUAAUAGCUCACUGGUCGAGUCGGCCUGCGCGGAAGAUGUAACGGGGCUAAACCAUGCACCGAAGCUGCGGCAGCGACACUCAGGUGUUGUUGGGUAGGGGAGCGUUCUGUAAGCCUGCGAAGGUGGCCUGUGAGGGUUGCUGGAGGUAUCAGAAGUGCGAAUGCUGACAUAAGUAACGAUAAAGCGGGUGAAAAGCCCGCUCGCCGGAAGACCAAGGGUUCCUGUCCAACGUUAAUCGGGGCAGGGUGAGUCGACCCCUAAGGCGAGGCCGAAAGGCGUAGUCGAUGGGAAACGGGUUAAUAUUCCCGUACUUGGUGUUACUGCGAAGGGGGGACGGAGAAGGCUAUGUUGGCCGGGCGACGGUUGUCCCGGUUUAAGCGUGUAGGUGUGUGUUCCAGGUAAAUCCGGUU